Molecule: ribosomal RNA, 497 nt
Filed under: uncultured bacterium
Lineage: Bacteria
Description: partial 16S ribosomal RNA
Rfam family: Bacterial small subunit ribosomal RNA
Source: RNAcentral
GAUGAACGCUGGCGGCGUGCCUAAUACAUGCAAGUCGAGCGAACAGACGAGGAGCUUGCUCCUCUGACGUUAGCGGCGGACGGGUGAGUAACACGUGGAUAACCUACCUAUAAGACUGGGAUAACUUCGGGAAACCGGAGCUAAUACCGGAUAAUAUAUUGAACCGCAUGGUUCAAUAGUGAAAGACGGUUUUGCUGUCACUUAUAGAUGGAUCCGCGCCGCAUUAGCUAGUUGGUAAGGUAACGGCUUACCAAGGCAACGAUGCGUAGCCGACCUGAGAGGGUGAUCGGCCACACUGGAACUGAGAGACGGUCCAGACUCCUACGGGAGGCAGCAGUAGGGAAUCUUCCGAAAUGGGCGAAGGCCUGACGGAGCAACGCCGCGUGGGUGAUGAAGGUCUUCGGAUCGUAAAACUCUGUUAUUAGGGAAGAACAAAUGUGUAAGUAACUAUGCACGUCUUGACGGUACCUAAUCAGAAAGCCACGGCUAACUACGUG